CGCUGGCGGCAUGCUUUACACAUGCAAGUCGAACGGCAGCGCGGGGCAACCUGGCGGCGAGUGGCGAACGGGUGAGUAAUAUAUCGGAACGUACCCAAGAGUGGGGGAUAACGUAGCGAAAGUUACGCUAAUACCGCAUACGAUCUAAGGAUGAAAGUGGGGGAUCGCAAGACCUCAUGCUCCUGGAGCGGCCGAUAUCUGAUUAGCUAGUUGGUGAGGUAAAGGCUCACCAAGGCUACGAUCAGUAGCUGGUCUGAGAGGACGACCAGCCACACUGGAACUGAGACACGGUCCAGACUCCUACGGGAGGCAGCAGUGGGGAAUUUUGGACAAUGGGCGCAAGCCUGAUCCAGCAAUGCCGCGUGAGUGAAGAAGGCCUUCGGGUUGUAAAGCUCUUUUGUCAGGGAAGAAACGGUGGGAGCUAAUAUCUCCCACUAAUGACGGUACCUGAAGAAUAAGCACCGGCU
This 467-nucleotide ribosomal RNA is filed under the name uncultured bacterium. RNAcentral's name for it is "bacterial SSU rRNA". It matches the Rfam family "Bacterial small subunit ribosomal RNA", at positions 34 to 498 of the family's 1533-position model. The record is from RNAcentral.